UACGUAGGUGGCGAGCGUUAUCCGGAUUUACUGGGCGUAAAGUGAGCGCAGACGGUCUUUCAAGUCAGAUGUUAAAUCUCUCGGCCUAACCGGGGUGGUGCAUUUGAUACUGUUGGACUAGAGGACAACAGAGGGAGGUAGAAUUCCCGGUGUAGUGGUGGAAUGCGUAGAUAUCGGGAGGAAUACCAGUGGCGAAGGCGGCCUCCUGGGUUGUUUCUGACGUUCAUGCUCGAAGGUGUGGGGAG
RNAcentral lists this ribosomal RNA (245 nucleotides) under uncultured bacterium. Its description in RNAcentral is "partial 16S ribosomal RNA". It matches the Rfam family "Bacterial small subunit ribosomal RNA", at positions 524 to 768 of the family's 1533-position model. The record is from RNAcentral.